RNAcentral lists this ribosomal RNA (368 nucleotides) under Lemniscomys striatus (typical striped grass mouse). Its description in RNAcentral is "partial 12S ribosomal RNA". The record is from RNAcentral. Lineage: Eukaryota; Metazoa; Chordata; Mammalia; Rodentia; Muridae.
GCUUAGCCCUAAAUCUAAAUAAUUUAGUAACAAAAUUAUUUGCCAGAGAACUACUAGCCACCGCUUAAAACUCAAAGGACUUGGCGGUACUUUAUAUCCCCCUAGAGGAGCCUGUUCUAUAAUCGAUAAACCCCGCUACACCUCACCAUCUCUUGCUAAUUCAGCCUAUAUACCGCCAUCUUCAGCAAACCCUAAAAAGGUAGCAAAGUAAGCACAAAAAUAAACAUAAAAACGUUAGGUCAAGGUGUAGCCAAUGAGAUGGGAAGAAAUGGGCUACAUUUUCUUUUAAAAGAAUAUUACGGAAUCCUUUAUGAAAUUAAAGGAUAAAGGCGGAUUUAGUAGUAAAUUAAGAAUAGAGAGCUUAAUUG